This 200-nucleotide ribosomal RNA is filed under the name uncultured bacterium. Its description in RNAcentral is "partial 16S ribosomal RNA". It matches the Rfam family "Bacterial small subunit ribosomal RNA", at positions 8 to 234 of the family's 1533-position model. The record is from RNAcentral.
AGAGUUUGAUCCUGGCUCAGAACGAACGCUGGCGGCAGGCUUAACACAUGCAAGUCGAACGGCUGUAGCAAUACAGCAGUGGCGCACGGGUGAGUAACGCGUGGGAACAUCCCUUUCAGUUCGGAAUAACCUCGGGAAACUGAGGCUAAUACCGGAUACUCCCUCCGGGGGAAAGAUUUAUCGCUGAAAGAUUGGCCCGC